UUAGGUUUUCAACUUAGAGAGAAGAGUUCAAGUCUCUUUGGGAGUG
Molecule: transfer RNA, 46 nt
Filed under: Spirastrella coccinea
Lineage: Eukaryota; Metazoa; Porifera; Demospongiae; Clionaida; Spirastrellidae
Description: partial tRNA-Glu
Source: RNAcentral